Molecule: ribosomal RNA, 411 nt
Filed under: Salmonella enterica subsp. enterica serovar Mbandaka
Lineage: Bacteria; Pseudomonadati; Pseudomonadota; Gammaproteobacteria; Enterobacterales; Enterobacteriaceae
Description: partial 23S ribosomal RNA
Rfam family: Bacterial large subunit ribosomal RNA
Source: RNAcentral
UGUUUCGGCUAGGGGGCCAUCCCGGCUUACCAACCCGAUGCAAACUGCGAAUACCGGAGAAUGUUAUCACGGGAGACACACGGCGGGUGCUAACGUCCGUCGUGAAGAGGGAAACAACCCAGACCGCCAGCUAAGGUCCCAAAGUCAUGGUUAAGUGGGAAACGAUGUGGGAAGGCCCAGACAGCCAGGAUGUUGGCUUAGAAGCAGCCAUCAUUUAAAGAAAGCGUAAUAGCUCACUGGUCGAGUCGGCCUGCGCGGAAGAUGUAACGGGGCUAAACCAUGCACCGAAGCUGCGGCAGCGACACUGUGUGUUGUUGGGUAGGGGAGCGUUCUGUAAGCCUGUGAAGGUGGCCUGUGAGGGUUGCUGGAGGUAUCAGAAGUGCGAAUGCUGACAUAAGUAACGAUAAAGCG